ACUGAACUCCCAAUCUGCUUCGAGAUCUGUCUUAGGAUUGGUGAAUUAUGUUCAUUUUUAAAAAGGGAUGUGAUAGACAACAUCUAGAGAACCGGGCAAGGAGUAUACAUCUGAAAAGGACAAGGUGCUUUGAAACCAACAGCUCAUCAACAGGUUCAUGGAUGAACCUGGAAAUAUUUAUAAAUAUUGAUUCCAGAUUUCAGAGACGGGUGUCUCGAAAUGUUGCCCAGGUUGGUCUUGAACUCCCGGACUCAAGUGAUCCCCCCACCGGGCCUCCCAAAGUGCUGGGAUUAUCAGUGUGAGCCACCAACCCCUGCAGAGUCUACAUCUGAAAUAAACCACAGAAGCAAGGAUAUCACUUAAACAAUGUAACUUACCAAUUCAGUCUGAGUGAGUUUUGUAGUUUACAACAUAUUGAUGAAAACAGUUAAGUGUCUACAUUCCGUUUACAUAAGAGAAUGCUAUUAAAGCUUUUAAAAUAAAAAACUUAAAACUAUUCCCCUCACCCCCCCCAAAAAGUCUAACUAUAAAGAUGGGUUUGCUACAAAAUAAUUAUCAAAACUGAUUUACCAAGUAAGAUGUCCUCUCGCUCACUGCCCCCCCAAAAAUAUGUAUACUGUAGGAAUACUCCUAGGAAGUGACACAAGUGGAAGAAAAAACUUUCUUUCAAUAUGCUAAAAACAUCUACAGUGCACUAAAAAAAAGUCCCUAAAUUUGGCAAUACAUUUCUUCCAGAAAUGUUAUUCAAUAACAUAAACAUUAUGAAGUAGAACUGGCUGUCCCAUAUGUUCAGAAUAAAAGGGUUAAGCGGAGUCCUGCAUAACUAGCA
Molecule: non-coding RNA, 829 nt
Filed under: Pongo abelii (Sumatran orangutan)
Lineage: Eukaryota; Metazoa; Chordata; Mammalia; Primates; Hominidae
Source: RNAcentral